GCUGGGUGUGGUGGUGCGCACCUGUUAUCCCAGCUACUUGGGAGGCUGAGGCAGGAGAAUCGCUUGAACUCAGGAGGUGGAGGUUGUAGUGAGCCAAGAUUGUGCCACUGCACUCCAGCCUGGGUGACAAAGCAAGACCCUGUCUCAA
Pongo abelii (Sumatran orangutan) is the source of this 148-nucleotide unclassified non-coding RNA. It matches the Rfam family "Metazoan signal recognition particle RNA". From Rfam's summary of the family: The signal recognition particle (SRP) is a universally conserved ribonucleoprotein. It is involved in the co-translational targeting of proteins to membranes. Lineage: Eukaryota; Metazoa; Chordata; Mammalia; Primates; Hominidae. The record is from Ensembl.